GUAAGGUCAAGUAGAAAAGGGCGCACGGUGAAUGCCUAGGCACUAACAGCCGAAGAAGGACGUGACGAACUACGAAAAGCUUCGGGGAGCGGUAAGUACGCAGUGAUCCGGAGAUAUCCGAAUGGGGGAACCCAAUGCAGAGAUGCAUUAUUGAUUAGUGAAUAGAUAGCUAAUCAAAGGAAGACGCAGUGAACUGAAACAUCUAAGUAGCUGCAGGAAGAGAAAGAAAGAUCGAUUUCCUUAGUAGCGGCGAGCGAAGAGGAAAGAGCCCAAACCAAGUGAUUUAUCAUUUGGGGUUGUAGGACUGCGACGUGGCAGUGUAAGAGAUAGUUGAAUUAUCUGGGAAGGUAAGCCAGAGAGGGUGAGAGCCCCGUAAGCGAAAUCUCAAGCACGCCUAGCAGAAUCCUGAGUAGGCCGGGACACGAGGAAUCCCGGUUGAAACCGCGAGGACCAUCUCGCAAGGCUAAAUACUAGUUAGUGACCGAUAGUGAACCAGUACCGUGAGGGAAAGGUGAAAAGAACCCCGGAAGGGGAGUGAAAAAGAACCUGAAACCGUGUGUCUACAAGUAGUCAAAGCACAUUAAAGUGCAAUGGCGUGCCUUUUGUAGAAUGAACCGGCGAGUUACGUUAUCUAGCGAGGUUAAGUCAGAAAAGACGGAGCCGGAGCGAAAGCGAGUCUUAAUAGGGCGAAAAGUUAGGUGACGUAGACCCGAAACCAAGUGACCUACCCAUGACCAGGCUGAAGGUGUGGUAAAACGCACUGGAGGGCCGAACCCACGUAAGUUAAAAAUUGCGGGGAUGAGUUGUGGGUAGCGGUGAAAUUCCAAACGAACUUGGAGAUAGCUGGUUCUCUCCGAAAUAGCUUUAGGGCUAGCCUCGUGGAGAGGAUAAUGGAGGUAGAGCUCUGUUUGGACUAGGGGCCCGUCAGGGGUUACUGAAUCCAGAUAAACUACGAAUUCCAGAUAUCCAUACACGGGAGUCAGACUGCGAGUGAUAAGAUCCGUAGUCGAAAGGGAAACAGCCCAGAUCACCAGUUAAGGUCCCCAAAUCUAUGCUAAGUGGAAAAGGAUGUGGAGUUGCGUAGACAACUAGGACGUUGGCUCAGAAGCAGCCAUCAUUCAAAGAGUGCGUAAUAGCUCACUAGUCGAGUGGCGCUGCGCCGAAAAUUUACCGGGGCUAAGCAUAGUACCGAAACUGUGGAUGUGUUUUAAAGAGCACGUGGUAGGAGAGCGUUCUAAGAGCGGAGAAGUUGAAUCGAGAGGAUCAAUGGAGCGCUUAGAAGUGAGAAUGCCGGUAUGAGUAGCGAAAGAUAGGUGAGAAUCCUAUCCGCCGAAAGACUAAGGUUUCCUGGGGCAGGCUCGUCCGCCCAGGGUAAGUCGGGACCUAAGGCAAGGCCGAGAGGCGUAGUCGAUGGAUAACAGGUAGAGAUUCCUGUACUGUGUCAAAUCGUUAAGAGCGAAGGAGGGACGCAGGAGGUGAAGCACGCAUCGCGAUGGAACGAUGUUCAAGCAACAAGUGCGGUUAAGAGUCAAAUGCUUCUAACCAGCAACACGAGUUGUGAAGAGGAGUGAAUUAAAAGUAGCGAAGGUGUGGUAAUCACACUGCCAAGAAAAGCUUCUAGCCAGAGAUGACAUACCCGUACCGCAAACCGACACAGGUAGUCGAGUGGAGAACACUAAGGUGAGCGAGAGAACUCUCGUUAAGGAACUCGGCAAAAUGACCCCGUAACUUCGGAAGAAGGGGUGCUAGCCAAGAGAUUGGUUAGCCGCAGUGAAUAGGCCCAAACAACUGUUUAUCAAAAACACAGGUCUCUGCAAAAUCGUAAGAUGACGUAUAGAGGCUGACACCUGCCCGGUGCUGGAAGGUUAAGAGGAGAGCUUAGCGUAAGCGAAGGUUUGAAUUGAAGCCCCAGUAAACGGCGGCCGUAACUAUAACGGUCCUAAGGUAGCGAAAUUCCUUGUCGGGUAAGUUCCGACCUGCACGAAAGGUGUAAUGAUUUGGGCACUGUCUCAACGAGAGACUCGGUGAAAUUAUAAUACCCGUGAAGAUGCGGGUUACCCGCGACAGGACGGAAAGACCCCAUGGAGCUUCACUGUAGCUUGAUAUUGAGUAUCUUUUAAACAUGUACAGGAUAGGUAGGAGCCAGAGAAGAUAGGACGCUAGUCUUAUUGGAGGCAAUGUUGGGAUACUACCCUUGUUUGAAGGAUGCUCUAACCUCGACCUGUAAGCCAGGCCAGGGACAGUGUCAGGUGGGCAGUUUGACUGGGGCGGUCGCCUCCUAAAGUGUAACGGAGGCGCUCAAAGGUUCCCUCAGAAUGG
RNAcentral lists this ribosomal RNA (2319 nucleotides) under Lactobacillus crispatus. Its description in RNAcentral is "partial 23S ribosomal RNA". It matches the Rfam family "Bacterial large subunit ribosomal RNA", at positions 1 to 2330 of the family's 2925-position model. The record is from RNAcentral. Lineage: Bacteria; Bacillati; Bacillota; Bacilli; Lactobacillales; Lactobacillaceae.